This 2255-nucleotide ribosomal RNA is filed under the name human gut metagenome. RNAcentral's name for it is "bacterial LSU rRNA". It matches the Rfam family "Bacterial large subunit ribosomal RNA", at positions 3 to 2349 of the family's 2925-position model. The record is from RNAcentral.
UCAAGCGAACAAGGGCGCAGGGCGAAUGCCUUGGCACUGGGAGCCGAUGAAAGACGUGAUAAGCUGCGAUAAGCUUCGGGGAGCUGCAAAUAAGCAUUGAUCCGGAGAUUUCUGAAUGAGGAAACUCACCUGGGUUCAUACUCAGGUACGUUGUACUGAAAUUCAAAAUAGGUACAUCGAGGGAACCGCCUGAACUGAAACAUCUAAGUAGGGCGAGGAAGAGACAUCAAACGAGAUUCCGUAAGUAGUGGCGAGCGAACGCGGAAGAGGGCAAACCGAGAGUAGAAAUACUUUCGGGGUACGGAGCGCAUUUAGGACUUAAGUUGUUAACCGAACGGCAUGGGAAGGCCGGUCAGAGAGUGUGAGAACCACGUAGGUGAAAACGACAAGAGCUGAGCGAUUUCCAGAGUACGGCCAGACACGUGAAACCUGGUCGGAAGAUGGGGGGACCACCCUCCAACCCUAAAUACUACCCAGUGACCGAUAGCGUAUAGUACUGUGAAGGAAAGGUGAAAAGCACCCCGGGAGGGGAGUGAAAAAGAACCUGAAACCCUGUGCCUACAAGCACCUAGAGCACGUCAAAGUGUGAUAGGGUACUUUUUGUAGAACGGUCCGGCGAGCGAUUGUAUGCAGCAAGGUUAAGGACUUAAGGUCUGGAGCCGAAGCGAAAGCGAGUUUGAAAAGGGCGUUAAGUUGCAUAUAAUGGGCCCGAAACCGGGUGACCUACCCAUGGUCAGGUUGAAGUGGAAGUAAAAUUCCAUGGAGGACCGAACCGACCUCCGUUGAAAAGGCGGCGGAUGAACUGUGGGUAGCGGAGAAAUUCCAAUCGAACCCGGAGAUAGCUGGUUCUCCCCGAAAUAGUUUUAGGACUAGCCUCAAGUUAGAUACCUGGAGGUAAAGCACUGAAUAGCCUAGCGGCCGAGAGGUUAGCGAAGCUUAUCAAACUCAGAAUGCCAGAGUAUUGAUGCUUGGGAGUCAGACAGUGUCAGAUAAAUGUCAUUGUCAAAAGGGAAACAGCCCAGAUCUACAGCUAAGGUCCCAAAGUCAGGUUAAGUGGAAAACGAUGUGAAGAUACGCAGACAACCAGGAUGUUGGCUCAGAAGCAGCCACUCAUUCAAAGAGUGCGUAAUAGCUCACUGGUCGAGCGUCUUUGCGCGGAGAAUUUAACGGGGCUAAACCUGACACCGAAGCUUAGGCAAUCCAGUAAUGGAUUGGGUAGGGGAGCGUUGUAUACGCGGAGAAACAGUAGCGUAAGCGGCUGUGGAGUGUAUAGAAGUGAGAAUGCCGGAAUGAGUAGCGCGAAUGCAGUGAGAAUCUGCAUGGCCGAAAGCCUCAGGUUUUUGGAGGAAGGUUCGUCCGCUCCAAGUUAGUCGGGAGCUAAGGUGAGGCCGGAAGGCGUAGCCGAUGCACAGACGGUAGAGAUUCCGUCACCACCAAAAGAGUUAAGCACAGGGACACAUUUGAAGUCUCAGAGCCGGGUGUUGGUUCCGGUAGAGAUCGAGGGAAGUUAGUACCGAAGUCUGAGAUGGAAGAUGGCGAGAAAAGCUGUGUGUAUUUCUGAGGUGCCCGUACCGCAAACCGACACAGGUAGGUAGGAAGAAGAUUCUAAGGCCAACGGGAGAAGGGUUGUUAAGGAACUCGGCAAAUUGACCCCGUAACUUCGGGAGAAGGGGUGCUCCAGAGAUGGAGCCGCAGAGAAUCGGCCCAAGCAACUGUUUACCAAAAACACAGGUUUGUGCUAAAUCGAAAGAUGACGUAUACGAGCUGACGCCUGCCCGGUGCUGGAAGGUUAAAAGGAGAUGUGCAAGCAUUGAAUUGAAGCCCCAGUGAACGGCGGCCGUAACUAUAACGGUCCUAAGGUAGCGAAAUUCCUUGUCAGGUAAGUUCUGACCCGCACGAAAGGCGUAAUGAUUUGGGCACUGUCUCAACAGCCCGCCCGGCGAAAUUGUAGUACCGGUGAAGAUGCCGGUUACCCGCGACAAGACGGAAAGACCCCAUGGAGCUUUACUGUAGCCUAAUAUUGGGUUUCGAUGUUGCAUGCACAGGAUAGAUGGGACACAGGGAAGCAGGUGCUUUGGCGCUUGUGGAGUGGCCGUUGGGAUACCAUCCUUGCGAUAUUGGAAUUCUAACCUGCGCCUUUGAAUCAAGGCGGGGGACAUUGUUAGGUGGGCAGUUUGACUGGGGCGGUCGCCUCCUAAAGAGUAACGGAGGCGUUCAAAGGUUCGCUCAGCUUGAACGGAAAUCAAGCAAAAGAG